Molecule: ribosomal RNA, 462 nt
Filed under: uncultured bacterium
Lineage: Bacteria
Description: partial 16S ribosomal RNA
Rfam family: Bacterial small subunit ribosomal RNA
Source: RNAcentral
GACGAACGCUGGCGGCGUGCUUAACACAUGCAAGUCGAACGGAAAGGCCCUUCGGUUUCCUCGAGUGGCGAACGGGUGAGUAACACGUGGAUGAUCUGCCCUGCACUUUGUGAUAAGCCUGGGAAACUGGGUCUAAUACCGAAUAGGACCGCGCGCUUCUUGGCGGCUGGUGGCAAUCUUGUGCGGUGUGGGCUGGGUCCGCGGCCGAUCAGCUUGUUGGUGGGGUAAUGGCCUACCAAGGCGACGACGGGUAGCCGGCCUGAGAGGGUGACCGGCGACAAUGGGACUGAGAUACGGCCCAGACUCCUACGGGAGGCAACAGUGGGGAAUAUGGCACAAUGGGCGCAAGCCUGAGGCAGCGACGCCGCGUGCGGGAUGACGGCUUUCGGGUUGUAAACAUCUGUCUCCAGGGACGAAGCGGAAGUGACGGUACCUGGAGAAGAAGCACCGGCUAACUACGUG